UUAGGCUAGGGGCUAGGUAAAUAACAUGGGUAAUCAAUAAAUUCUAAGGGAUAAACAUAGGCUUCAAGUUGGCUAUAAGGGAUAUACAUUUUAAUUAGGGGUGGCUAAGGCUUAGUGAGGCUAUAUCAAAGAAUGCCUUAAUCAUUUCUUCAUCAAGCAUAUGUUAGGAUUUCGCCUUGAUAGGUCCAAGAGACAUGUUCUAGAGCUGCUGAAGCAUUCUUAGGUUUGCUUGUAUUUUAAAAAAUUUUCUCCUAAUUUCGCAAGUUCAAUGUGGCAGAUUAAUGGCUAUAAAGGGGUUUAACUAGUCUAGUUCCACUAAAGAGAUUAGGUUUUUCACAGACAACAUGUUAGAGUCCCUUUUUAUCUAUCCAGAUAUGUUCAUUCCUCUAUCCCAUAGAGUCCAAUUAUUAGCUUACUAGAAGUUGGUUAUAGUUCUAAGCUAAAGUUCACCAAAAAAAUAUUGAAAAUUUUCAAAAAUUUUCAAUAUUUUUAUGGUUUCUGGAAUUUUGAUACACAAGAAUAUUAUAGCUGAAUUUAAACAAUGUAAUGAUAUGCAUGUAAUGAUAUGCAAUGCACUUGUAUCCCCCCCAAACUCAAAUUAGACAUUGUCCUCAAUGUUAAUAUAAUAUGCAAAAUUAGAGAAAACGUACACAAAUUAUAAUAAAGCAUAUUAUUUAUUAAGCAUUGAAAAGUUUGGACAUAAAGAAAAUAAAAGAGACCUAUGAUUGCAAUCUAGGACUAGGGUAUUCAAGAUUUUACAAUAAAGAACCUAUCCUAUAGUCCUAGGUCUAAAAGGUCUCUGAUGGUGAUGAUGGUGAUGCUGGUGAUGUUGGCUCCUCUUCAUCAACCUUCUCCAUUAGCAUGUCCAACUUGCUGUGGGCUUCCUGGAGGCUGUCCUCAAUUGCUCGCAUUUUAUUAUUGAUUGUGGUCCCCAUGCACUGUAGAUAUGCGAGUAUCGGGUUUGUGGGUGGUGGUGUGUAUGGAGGCACUCGAGCGGGGAACUCCUGAAACAUUGGCUCUUGGCCUUCUUCUUGAGGUUGUAAAGUCUCGUUGGGUCCUUUUCUUGCUUCGUCUCUCCAAGGGAUGGCGUUCCCUUCAGCAUCCAGUAUGUAGCAUGUGUUGCCCACCUUCUUACAUAUCUCUAUGGAUAUGUAGAUAGUCUGAUCUAUUCUUGACGUUCUAGUGACAAAGCGCAGCCUGGGAUAUCCUGGAACGAAGCCGAAGUGGAGGGCAAUGGUUGUGACAAGGCCACCAAGCACGAUGUGCCCGGUAGACUAUUGACAGAGGCAUCGAAGAUGGUUGCAUAAAAAGAAACCAGUGCUGCACCACUGUCCGGUGACCAUACACUACAAGAAGAAGAGCUCGCUGGCAUUGACAACGCUAAGGCUGUCGCCAUGGCCCACGAUGGUGUGGGCGGCGAACCGAUGCAUAUAGCAGAGGGCUGGACUAGUGAUGCCCAUGGAUUUGGAUUUGCUGGAGUUAUACAGCUCCAUGUUCGGGGCAAUAGAAUUCCAGAAGCUGAUAUUGUUAUAGAGCAUACGGUUCCUAGGAAUCUCCUGGUAGCCGACGCUGUUAAAGCCAAAGAUGGCGUUGAACUCGUCUAUGUUCAUUACCCGGUCAACACCAAGGAGGCAAAAUUCAAUCCUGCACCUGUCCUCCCUGUCGAUAGGCCAUAAUGUGGCCUUGAAGCUACCCAAAAAUUUCAGCGUAGUGUCCUUGUAUGCCGAAAAUUGAAUUUGGGCGAACCUUGUCCACCCAAUGCUAUCCAGUAGCCCAUUGAUUUCAUCUUGUAGCCCGAUUUGCUCCAAAAGUGGAAAAUCCAUGUAUUUGGUGGAGCUUAUUUUCAGGGCGUGAAGCCGGGUGCACAUUGCUUUGUGGGCAUCAUCACGAAAUCCCCAAGGAAUGGAGAUUUCAGGUUAUGGAGCAGAUUGUGGCUGUGGUUGUGGUUGUGGUUGUGGUGGAGGAUGGGCUUGUUAAGAUGGUUGGAGAGUGGCUACCCUUGUUCUUGGGCAUUGGGAUGGAGGCUAAGGUGGAGAAGGUGAGGAUUCUCCUCUUUGCCUUGAAGAAGAGCCAAUCCUUCUUACAGAUCUCUUUGCAGGAGCCAUGGAUGAGUUUUUGGGAAGGAGAAGAGUAGGGUUUGGUGAAGAGAGAUGAGAUUUGAGAGGUUUUUAUAGGCUAGGAAGGGAGGAGAUGAAGGGUUUUGUGUUUAUGAAGGGUUUUAAUGCUAGGGGUGUAUUUAAAGAGCUGUUAGGACUCUUCGUUUCACGCGUUUCAUGCCCCAGGAGUCACGUCUGCGACAAAGUACACUGGUCGUGUAUCACUACAUGAGUCCCAACAUGUAGGGCUGUGUAAAUUUCUGCCCGAAAAUUUCAAAUUCUGUCAUAGCACACGGCCCGUGUAAAUAAGCUUUGGGACCCGUGUAACUUUUUGUCUCUCGAGUUUCUUUACUGGAUAUGUUACACGGCCCGUGUCAAAUACAAGGAGGCCCAUAUAACUUCCUGACUUUAAGUUAUUCUGCUAGAGACAUUACACGGUCCGUGUAAAUUGGGCUUUGGACCCGUGUAACUUUUUGUCUCCUUCAGAGUUAAAAAUGCAGGAAAUUUACGGACUUUCAGAAAGUUACACGACCUGUGUAAAACCAAUACACGACCCAUGUAAUAUUCUGAUUUUUCAAAUUCUUGUCAAAUGAAAAAUGUUUAUUAUCAUAACACAUGAAAUAGAUGUAAAGUUUAGCAAUAGAGCUACUUCCCUGGUUUUCUCUAAUUUUCCCUUUUGUGGUUUUGACUUGGUGAUUCCUUCCCUCUCUUAAUCUCUACUUCCCUUUCCAAAUAUCCUACAAAAUGAAAUGCUAAUAAGUAUGAAACAAAAAUUAAUAUGAAAAAGAAGAAAAGAAAAGAAAAGUUUAGAAAAUUUUUGGGUUGCCUCCUAAAAAGCGCUUGUUUAUAGUCUUUAGCUUGACUUUGCUUAUUUAUGGUCUGUCGGUAGGAUGGUCGAUGGUACAAUUGACUCCCAUUUCUAUGGGUUCUCCCUGAAAGUAAGGCUUUAGCCUUUGUCCAUUGACAUUAAAUACACCUGAGGUUUCGCUCCACACUUCUAC
This 3097-nucleotide unclassified non-coding RNA is filed under the name Hevea brasiliensis (rubber tree). Lineage: Eukaryota; Viridiplantae; Streptophyta; Magnoliopsida; Malpighiales; Euphorbiaceae. The record is from RNAcentral.